GUAAAGCAUUUGUAGGUGACUUUUUAAAUUCUCCAUCAAAUUUCAGGACUCAACCCUGGACGAGCAAUGAAAACUACCAAGCUUGAGUAUGAUAGGGGUAGAAAAAAAUUUCGAUGAAGAGGUGAAAUGUUUAGAGAUUGAAAAAAAUAUCAACAAUAAAAUUUUUAUUGGAUUAACAUUGACACUCAGAGACGAAAACUAAAAGAACAAAUAUGAUUAGAUAUCUAAUAGUUCUAGCCUAAUC
Non-coding RNA from Glycine max (soybean), 244 nucleotides. The record is from Rfam. NCBI's taxonomy places the organism in Eukaryota, Viridiplantae, Streptophyta, Magnoliopsida, Fabales, Fabaceae.